RNAcentral lists this ribosomal RNA (466 nucleotides) under Vreelandella stevensii. RNAcentral's name for it is "partial 16S ribosomal RNA". It matches the Rfam family "Bacterial small subunit ribosomal RNA", at positions 338 to 796 of the family's 1533-position model. The record is from RNAcentral. Lineage: Bacteria; Pseudomonadati; Pseudomonadota; Gammaproteobacteria; Oceanospirillales; Halomonadaceae.
CCUACGGGAGGCUGCAGUGGGGAAUAUUGGACAAUGGGGGGAACCCUGAUCCAGCCAUGCCGCGUGUGUGAAGAAGGCCCUCGGGUUGUAAAGCACUUUCAGUGAGGAAGAACGCCUGGUGGUUAAUACCCAUCAGGAAAGACAUCACUCACAGAAGAAGCACCGGCUAACUCCGUGCCAGCAGCCGCGGUAAUACGGAGGGUGCGAGCGUUAAUCGGAAUUACUGGGCGUAAAGCGCGCGUAGGUGGCUUGAUAAGCCGGUUGUGAAAGCCCCGGGCUCAACCUGGGAACGGCAUCCGGAACUGUCAAGCUAGAGUGCAGGAGAGGAAGGUAGAAUUCCCGGUGUAGCGGUGAAAUGCGUAGAGAUCGGGAGGAAUACCAGUGGCGAAGGCGGCCUUCUGGACUGACACUGACACUGAGGUGCGAAAGCGUGGGUAGCAAACAGGAUUAGAUACCCGGGUAGUUC